RNAcentral lists this transfer RNA (67 nucleotides) under Scelimena sp. 1 XDL-2023a. Its description in RNAcentral is "tRNA-Met". Lineage: Eukaryota; Metazoa; Arthropoda; Insecta; Orthoptera; Tetrigidae. The record is from RNAcentral.
AAAAAGAUAAGCUAACAAAGCUUUUGGGCUCAUACCCCGACUAUGGAAACAUUCUAUUCCUCUUUUU